CGGGGUGCACCAGGCGCGAAAACUUUACAAUGCCGGCAACGGCGAUAAGGGAACCUCGAGUGCCAGGUUACAAAUCUGGCUGUCGUGAUGCCUAAAAAGCAUUGCAUAGCAAGGGCCGGGCAAGACCGGUGCCAGCCGCCGCGGUAACACCGGCGGCUCGAGUGGUAACCGUUAUUAUUGGGUCUAAAGGGUCUGUAGCCGGCCGGGUAAGUCUCUUGGGAAAUCUGGCAGCUUAACUGUCAGGCUUUCAGGAGAUACUGCCUGACUCGAGGCCGGGAGAGGUGAGAGGUACUUCAGGGGUAGGGGUGAAAUCUUGUAAUCCUUGAAGGACCACCAGUGGCGAAGGCGUCUCACCAGAACGGACCUGACGGCAAGGGACGAAAGCUAGGGGCACGAACCGGAUUAGAUACCCGGGUAGUCCUAGCCGUAAACGAUACUCGCUAGGUGUCGGCCACGGUGCGACCGUGGUCGGUGCCGUAGGGAAGCCGUGAAGCGAGCCACCUGGGAAGUACGGCCGCAAGGCUGAAACUUAAAGGAAUUGGCGGGGGAGCACAAGGGCGAUUGCG
RNAcentral lists this ribosomal RNA (566 nucleotides) under uncultured archaeon. RNAcentral's name for it is "bacterial SSU rRNA". It matches the Rfam family "Archaeal small subunit ribosomal RNA", at positions 326 to 892 of the family's 1478-position model. The record is from RNAcentral.